RNAcentral lists this ribosomal RNA (468 nucleotides) under Eutreptiella gymnastica. Its description in RNAcentral is "partial Eukaryotic large subunit ribosomal RNA". It matches the Rfam family "Eukaryotic large subunit ribosomal RNA", at positions 1006 to 1309 of the family's 3401-position model. Lineage: Eukaryota; Euglenozoa; Euglenophyceae; Eutreptiales; Eutreptiaceae. The record is from RNAcentral.
GGGUAAAGCAAUGCAUGAGAGGCAUUCUGGGGAGUCUAUCAGUCCUCAACCUAUUCUCAAACUGUGAAUGGGCAAGCAUCGGAGGCACACUUCUCUGCAUCCGGCGUCUGUGUGUGGCGCGUCAAAGGCCAUCCCUGGCCGACGGCGUGCCCAACGCAGUCCGCUGUGCCUGAGUGUGUUUGAGAGAUGGUGGCAGCCUUCUGGCCUCAGCGGGGUGGGGCAUUCUGCCCGGGCAUCCGCUGAGGCCGCUGGGGCCCAACCCGGAACAGUGUGCAGCCCCAUGUGGGCCAUUACUGGUAAGCAGUGCUGGCGAUGCGGGAUGAUCCGAGAGCGCGGUUGCAGGGUUCAAGUGCUGGCUCAUACAUAGAAUCCACAAAGGAUGUUGUCCGCUAGAGAUAGCAGGGCGGUGGCCAUGAAGGUUGGAAUCCGCUUAGGAGUGUGUAACAACCCACCUGCCGAAGCGGGCAG